GACGAACGCUUGCGGCGUGCUUAACACAUGCAAGUCGAACGGUGAAAGCGGAGCUUGCUCCGCUGGAUCAGUGGCGAACGGGUGAGUAACACGUGGGCAACCUGCCCCUCACUUCGGGAUAACUCCGGGAAACCGGGGCUAAUACCGGAUAUGACCUCCUUGGGCAUCCUUGGAGGUGGAAAGUUUUUCGGUGAGGGAUGGGCCCGCGGCCUAUCAGCUUGUUGGUGAGGUAGUGGCUCACCAAGGCGACGACGGGGAGCCGGCCAGAGAGGGCGACCGGCCACACUGGGACUGAGACACGGGCCGGACUCCUACGGGAGGCAGCAGUGGGGAAGAUUGCGCAAUGGGCGAAAGGCUGACGCAGCAACGCCGCGUGCGGGAUGACGGCCUUCGGGUUGUAAACCGCUUUCAGCAGGGAAGAAGCCGCAAGGUGACGGUACCUGCAGAAGAAGCACCGGCUAACUACGUGCCAGCCGCCGCGGUAA
This 485-nucleotide ribosomal RNA is filed under the name uncultured bacterium. Its description in RNAcentral is "partial 16S ribosomal RNA". It matches the Rfam family "Bacterial small subunit ribosomal RNA", at positions 28 to 523 of the family's 1533-position model. The record is from RNAcentral.